Molecule: long non-coding RNA, 458 nt
Filed under: Mytilus galloprovincialis (Mediterranean mussel)
Lineage: Eukaryota; Metazoa; Mollusca; Bivalvia; Mytilida; Mytilidae
Source: RNAcentral
UGUGAAUUCGACAGGCGCUUUCUCGGUGAAACUCUUGAUCACAAAAAACACAUUUAAAAUGUUUUUCCCCAGUAUGAAUUCUCAUGUGUUCAUUAUAGUUGCCUUUCUGACCAAAUUCCUUAUCACAUACAUCACAUUUGUAAGGUUUUUCGCUAGUAUGUGUUCUCAUGUGAAUUUGAUAAUUAUUUUUUUGGCAAAAUUCCUUUCCACAAAUAUCACAUUUGUAAGGUUUUCCACCAGUAUGGAUUUUCUUGUGUAUAUUAUAAUUGCCUUUAUGACCAAAUACUUUUCCACAUUUAUCACAUUUGUAAGGUGUUUCGCCAGUAUGUUUUCUCAUGUGAACUUUACAGUUACUGUUUUGGACAAAUCCUUUUCCACAAAUAUCACAUUUGUAAGGUUUUUCGCCAGUAUGGAUUUUCUUGUGUAUAUUAUAAUUGCCUUUGCUACUAAAUUCUUUA